Molecule: ribosomal RNA, 514 nt
Filed under: uncultured bacterium
Lineage: Bacteria
Description: bacterial SSU rRNA
Rfam family: Bacterial small subunit ribosomal RNA
Source: RNAcentral
GGCUCAGGAUGAACGCUGGCGGCGUGCUUAACACAUGCAAGUCGAACGGACUGUCCAAUUGAUCGAAGAGGCGUGCUUGCACAAAUCGGAAGUCGCCCGGACAAGUUAGUGGCGGACGGGUGAGUAACGCGUGGAGAACCUGCCUUUAUCUGGGGGAUAACAGUUAGAAAUGACUGCUAAUACCGCAUAAGCGCACACUGGGGCAUCCCAGAGUGUGAAAAAACUCCGGUGGAUAGAGAUGGCUCCGCGUCAGAUUAGCCAGUUGGCGGGUAACGGCCCACCAAAGCGACGAUCUGUAGCCGGCCUGAGAGGGCGAUCGGCCACAUUGGGACUGAGACACGGCCCAAACUCCUACGGGAGGCAGCAGUGGGGAAUAUUGCACAAUGGGGGAAACCCUGAUGCCAGCGACGCCGCGUGAGUGAUGAAGUAUUUCGGUAUGUAAAGCUCUAUCAGCAGGGAAGAAAAUGACGGUACCUGACCAAGAAGCCCCGGCUAACUACGUGCCAGCCGCCGC